GACGAACGCUGGCGGCGUGCUUAACACAUGCAAGUCGAACGGAAAGGCCCUGCUUUUGUGGGGUGCUCGAGUGGCGAACGGGUGAGUAACACGUGAGUAACCUGCCCUUGACUUUGGGAUAACUUCAGGAAACUGGGCUUAAUACCGAUAAGAGCCUCCUCCUCCAUGUGGGGGUUGGGAAAGUUUCGGCGGUUGGGGAUGGACUCGCGGCUUAUCAGCUUGUUGUUGGGGUAGUGGCUUACCAAGGCUUUGACGGGUAGCCGGCCUGAGAGGGUGACCGGCCACAUUGGGACUGAGAUACGGCCCAGACUCCUACGGGAGGCAGCAGUGGGGAAUAUUGCACAAUGGGCGGAAGCCUGAUGCAGCAACGCCGCGUGCGGGAUGACGGCCUUCGGGUUGUAAACCGCUUUCGCCUGUGACGAAGCGUGAGUGACGGUAAUGGGUAAAGAAGCACCGGCUAACUACGUG
RNAcentral lists this ribosomal RNA (468 nucleotides) under uncultured bacterium. RNAcentral's name for it is "partial 16S ribosomal RNA". It matches the Rfam family "Bacterial small subunit ribosomal RNA", at positions 28 to 507 of the family's 1533-position model. The record is from RNAcentral.